This 484-nucleotide ribosomal RNA is filed under the name uncultured bacterium. RNAcentral describes it as "partial 16S ribosomal RNA". It matches the Rfam family "Bacterial small subunit ribosomal RNA", at positions 28 to 523 of the family's 1533-position model. The record is from RNAcentral.
GACGAACGCUGGCGGCGUGCUUAACACAUGCAAGUCGAACGAUGAAGCCGGAGCUUGCUCUGGUGAAUUAGUGGCGAACGGGUGAGUAACACGUGAGUAACCUGCCCUUGACUCUGGGAUAACUGCGGGAAACUGUAGCUAAUACCGGAUACGACCCUCGGAGGCAUCUCCUGGGGGUGGAAAGAAUUUCGGUCAAGGAUGGACUCGCGGCCUAUCAGCUAGUUGGUGAGGUAAAGGCUCACCAAGGCGACGACGGGUAGCCGGCCUGAGAGGGGAACGGGCCACAAUGGGACUGAGAAACGGCCCAGACUCCUACGGGAGGCAGCAGUGGGGAAUAUUGCACAAUGGGCGCAAGCCUGAUGCAGCAACGCCGCGUGAGGGAUGACGGCCUUCGGGCUGUAAACCUCUUUUAGCAGGGAAGAAGCGAAAGUGACGGUACCUGCAGAAAAAGCACCGGCUAACUACGUGCCAGCCGCCGCCGUAA